Transfer RNA from Halobacteroides halobius DSM 5150, 74 nucleotides. It matches the Rfam family "tRNA". Rfam says of the family: Transfer RNA (tRNA) molecules are approximately 80 nucleotides in length. Their secondary structure includes four short double-helical elements and three loops (D, anti-codon, and T loops). Further hydrogen bonds mediate the characteristic L-shaped molecular structure. tRNAs have two regions of fundamental functional importance: the anti-codon, which is responsible for specific mRNA codon recognition, and the 3' end, to which the tRNAs corresponding amino acid is attached (by aminoacyl-tRNA synthetases). tRNAs cope with the degeneracy of the genetic code in two manners: having more than one tRNA (with a specific anti-codon) for a particular amino acid; and 'wobble' base-pairing, i.e. permitting non-standard base-pairing at the 3rd anti-codon position. The record is from Rfam. NCBI's taxonomy places the organism in Bacteria, Bacillati, Bacillota, Clostridia, Halanaerobiales, Halobacteroidaceae.
GUGCUUGUAGCUCAGCUGGACAGAGCAACGGCCUUCUAAGCCGUGGGUCGGGGGUUCGAAUCCUCCCAAGCACG